AUGGACGCAAGUCUGAUGGAGCAACGCCGCGUGAGUGAAGAAGGGUUUCGGCUCGUAAAGCUCUGUUGGUAGUGAAGAAAGAUAGAGGUAGUAACUGGCCUUUAUUUGACGGUAAUUACUUAGAAAGUCACGGCUAACUACGUGCCAGCAGCCGCGGUAAUACGUAGGUGGCAAGCGUUGUCCGGAUUUAUUGGGCGUAAAGCGAGUGCAGGCGGUUCAAUAAGUCUGAUGUGAAAGCCUUCGGCUCAACCGGAGAAUUGCAUCAGAAACUGUUGAACUUGAGUGCAGAAGAGGAGAGUGGAACUCCAUGUGUAGCGGUGGAAUGCGUAGAUAUAUGGAAGAACACCAGUGGCGAAGGCGGCUCUCUGGUCUGCAACUGACGCUGAGGCUCGAAAGCAUGGGUAGCGAACAGGAUUAGAUACCCUGGUAGUCCAUGCCGUAAACGAUGAGUGCUAAGUGUUGGGAGGUUUCCGCCUCUCAGUGCUGCAGCUAACGCAUUAAGCACUCCGCCUGGGGAGUACGACCGCAAGGUUGAAACUCAAAGGAAUUGACGGGGGCCCGCACAAGCGGUGGAGCAUGUGGUUUAAUUCGAAGCAACGCGAAGAACCUUACCA
This 614-nucleotide ribosomal RNA is filed under the name Lactobacillus gasseri. RNAcentral's name for it is "bacterial SSU rRNA". It matches the Rfam family "Bacterial small subunit ribosomal RNA", at positions 371 to 976 of the family's 1533-position model. The record is from RNAcentral. Lineage: Bacteria; Bacillati; Bacillota; Bacilli; Lactobacillales; Lactobacillaceae.